UUAGCUGCCAAGUGGCAAAUGGAAUAAGUCCAAAAACGGGAAGGAAAAUUAACAGGAACCAUCAAGUUAAGGAAAAUAUUCUGGCUGUAAGCCAAAUGACAGAAAUAUAACAAUCCGUGUACCACACUCAACAAAUGGUUUCGUAGUGUAGUGGUUAGCACUCCAGACUUUGAAUCUGGCGACCUGGGUUCAAAUCCCGGCGAGACCUACUUUUUGAACUGGCAUUUUAGUACUUCCAUGGUACCAUGUAGUCACAUUUUUUUCCUGAAAUUUAGUACUCGGGUAAAAUAUCGACUCACAAUUUUUGUGCUGACACUAGUGCUUCCAGGGUAGAAUGUACUCCUGUUUUUGCUGACAUUUCGUAUUUCCUUGGUACAAUGUACCCAGAUCUUCCAUAGUACAAUUACUCGCAUGUGAAAGAAAAGUGUAUACCUACUAACUUCAGAUGAGUUGCUGCAACCCAAUGUACACCUUCCUCAUUGAUUACGGUGGAGACUGAACUGAACUACUUAUUUCGAUACCGAUGUUCUUAAAAGAGACAUCAAUGCCUCAUUAAUAUUCUAUUCUAGCAACAUGAUGUGGCGACCCAUGGAAGAAAUCCGAAUAUUGUAUUCUAGCAAUGUUAGUAAACAUGAAGGAGGAACUGCAAUGGCCACUAUUGAGUGGUUCAAAGCCCAGCUAGGCAAUCAAAAAUAACAUUCACAAGGUCAUACUGAAUGGACUGGCCAUAUUAUUAGUUCAAAAUUGUGAUGAAUUGAUAAAGUGUGAGGUCUUCUGUAAUCUCUGCGUUCUCUUUGUAUCAUCAUUCCGGCAAAGGUUUACUGCAAUAAAGUUUGAGCUGCAACUUAUUAAUGUGGCCAUCUACCGGCUAUGGACAUGCUUAUGCCAGCAGCUAGCAAUCCUUAGUUGGAAAGCAUUGUCAGUUUACCGAUUUACAUCAAAGGCCACUAAGAUGGUCUGUUAGUCACAAUUUAGGUGCAAUGCAACUUAUAAGUGCAAGGAAAGGAUUCUGUCUUCAGGAGUAUACACACUUAUUCCACAAAUGAAAACUGGGUAAACAGUAAGCCCAUGGCAAAUGAUAAGACAAAACUAUAUGAAGUGACCAACUAAACCAACUCUGUCAACAAAAUUAAAUGCCAGGAAAUAUAUAUGUACCUCGGACAGAAGAGUGAGAAUCAGGUAGUUGAUUGUCACAUUCCAAUACAGAGCCAGUGUAAAGCAAAUGAGCAGAAUAAGGUGUGCAUGAGAAUUCCACGAAUCCAUCCACUGUAUAGCCGAUAGCGGAGCAUAUCCAAUUGGUCAUAAGCAAAGUAGCCACCUGAAAAGCACAGAGCAGAUUAUGCUGCAAUCCAACUGCUACCAACUAAUUCUUCAUGCUGAAACAUGUUCUCAAGGCUCUUAGUACGCCACUGCCACAACAGAACAAAGAUAACUGAAAAUCCAGAUAGGAGUGAGAUAAAGUCAAUCAAUAAGCUAGAGAUAUAGUAAGGUUUCGAGAAUAUGCAGUACACGUACGAGCCAUUCUAUUUAAAAUAAGGAUCAAUAGUUUUGCAUACUGCAGACAGAAGGCUCUACAACGUCCUAACUAUCUUCAGAUAGAGAAGAGCACCUCUAAUGACACAUAUCCGACCAUCUAGGACAUAAAAUUUCUCCUUCUAUCAUUUUUUGCUUAGCCAUUGUCAAUUCUGUGCGACAGAUUUACUGGUAAUAAGUAUGUGCGAAGAAGUGGUACAUCAAAUUAAUGUUGUGAGAAAGGUGGCGUUUCUAAAAUUCAGCCGCCUAGUGCACAUAGAGGCCCCCCAGUCACUGGGUGACACCCUUCCUGGUAGCCAAUUUAUCCCUCCUAGGCCGGCCUAAUUGGCGUUUAGGCACUAGGUGCUGAUUUGCCGCCCAACUAGCGGACAAGACGGAGAUAUUAGCCACCCAACUAGCAGACAAGACGGAGAUAUUAGUCGCCCAACUAGCAAACUCCUCUUAACACACUUUAUUACCAUUCUUUGAAGGGUUGGCAGUUUUGUCUGAAAAGACAUGGAAGUAUUUGCACGCAAGGCCAUUGCAUGGUUGCCACAUUUACCUGGAAGUUGGAGCCAUACAAACUUAGAAGCCAAACAUGCUAAACAGCAAGGUAGACAGCAGUAUGGGAUUUGAGAAAGCUUGCGCAAUUUCAACCAAUCCAAUCUCAAAUGGAGACACAACUCUCAACAGCACAAGGAAGCAGCAUCGCGGUGGCCAACAAGACUUCACACUAAAGAGAACAUAGCUCAUGCUGCUCCCUUUUAUCCAGGGCCGAACAAAUUGCAUCGAAGUCAAAGCAUCAACAGGUUAACCGCUUGAUUAAUCAGCCGCGCCCUCUCCAUCCACAAAUUCGCGCAUCGCUGGAAGUAAACUAGGCGUACCCUUUCUUCUACUAGUCGAUUAACCCAAAGCACAUGUACGCGAAAAGCGACGGGACGAAACGUGAGGGUUUGGAGAAGGGGGAGAAAGAGAGGCGAGACCUGAGGCGGAAGUGAGGGAGGAGUGGAGUAGCGAGACGGCGGUGUUGACGAAGAGCGGAUCGCGGGAGACGGCGACGCGGACGGCCGCGUUGGCGGCCCGGAAGAAGGCGAAACCGGCGGCCAGGGCGGCCAGCUCACGGCGGCCCCGCGCGCCGAUCUCGAACUGCCGACACGGCCAGAGCAGCAGCGUCGCCGCGCCGGCGCGACUGGGUGGGGGGGGUGAGGGGGGCGACAUCCCGUCUUCCGUCGUGACGAGCCGAGAGCCGCACCCGUCCACACGCUAGCCACUGCCCAACCAGCCCCCACAGAAAGAGAAUGGUUGAUUAAUUGUCUGCAUACCUGUAUUAGCGUGAAUUUUAAAGCGCCCGAAGCCUGGUUCAAGAGCUAUGCUUGGAUCAACAGUUUCUCCAGCCUGGCUGGUGCGAUGCACAGCGAACCCACAUGUGUAGGGACCUUACAGCAACUCUAGCACACCCGCAUCGGUCCGGCCCGUAAAACGUGUUUACAGCUCGCGGAAAAACGCCUUUACGGACCGGCGCACGGCCGCGGAUGUAGACCCCGCAUAACGGAUCCGUAAAAAAGGCAUAUUCGUUGAAUAUGCUUUUUUACCGGUCGGCUUUGCGGGGUCUGAUCUGGAGCAGCUCCUCCCGGUCCGGAAAACCUAAAUUUGCACCACAUCUUUACUAGAAUAAUGCAUUUCUUUGCUUUUCCAACCACAUUUGAAUACAUAAGACAUCACUACAUCUUUACUAGAAUAGCAAGACCAAAGAAAAUAAGAACCACAAGUAUGCAUUUCCAAAAACUAGAAUAGUGCACGUAUCCCGUCGUUUUCGCAUUUGAAGAACACCCAUCCGGUGUGGUUCGACGUGACCGAAGUAAGCCGCAGCACUGUCCGUGUGCAGUCAUCGCACUGUAUGAGCGGCAACGGCGAGCCACAUAGCCGUUGCGCGAGCGCCAAGCCCGGUGGAUGGCCAGACGAAUCCAUGCCCGCAAAUCGUCGGCGGCGCCGAGAGGACGAACCCGUCCCUGCAUGCGCUGAUGCGCUCUUGCCGGGGCUGCGGGAGAUGCUCCACGACCACUCCAUCGCUUGGCGCAGCCACCGACGGCCGGCAAAAGCCAAAUCCGACGUCCGAAAUCUUGGGCGAAGGGGGAGAGGGGAGGUGGUUGGUGGGGAAACGCGGGUUGAAAUGUCCCCCACCAACCGCUUCCCGCUUAUAUGCAGGGCACCGCAGCGGCGAGGGGGGGAACCCGCGAAUACGCGGGUUGAGGCCGAGAUUUUGCCGUGCCCCGCAAAAAUAUUUACGGGCCGGGGCGGGAUGGAGGGUCUGAUCGGGCAGGUUUUUCCGCCCCGACCCGCACUUUGGCGGUUAUUUUGCGGGCCGGGGCGGGAUGCGGGGUCUGCCAGAGUUGCUCUUAGAGCAUCACUAGUAGUGUCCUCAAAUCCUCAAAUUUUUAAACCAGUUUAAGGUUUGAAAAUUGGCAUUUUUUGGCAGUUUUAAGGGUUGAAAAACAGGGCAAAGACUAGAACUCUCAAACUCAACCCUUAUAACGGAAUAUUAUAAGGGUUGAGUUUAAGGGUUCUAGUCUUUGCCGUAACCCCAACCCUUAAAACUGUCAUUUGACAUAUCAUAAUUUUUAUCAUCUCAAUAACGGUUUGAAGAAAACAAUAAUCAUUCUAGUUAUUAUUACAACACCGAAUAGUACUUUCAAACACAUAAUAAUCAUUCAAGUUAUUACAACAAUGUUUUCAAGCAAAUUACAAUAAUUGUUCUAAUCAAAUAGGACAUAGAAAAGUAAACAAAGGUAGAUCAUGGGUCUUGACGCCGCCCAGCCAACUGCCACUGGUGCUCUACUAGAUCAUCCCGGAGCUGACCAUGAGUGUUUGCAUCCUCAAUCUGACGAUGUGCUUGAAGAAAAGCUUGUACGCGACAAGGGUUUCUUUCCCGGUUGCAAACGGGUACCAACAUUGUCAUAGAAACAAGGCAGUUUUAACCCUCUCUCAUCCUCGAGGAUCAUGUUGUGUAGAAUCACACAACAUUUCAUGAUGUUAUCCAAGGUUUUUUGUCCCAAAAACGAGCUGGACCCCGAACUAUGGCAAACCUUGCUUGCAAAACACUGAAAGCUCUCUCAAUAUCCUUGCGGGCUGCCUAUUGUGCCUUGGUGAAAUGAGCCUCUUUUCUGGUUAAGGGCACCCCAUUUUUCUCCUUGAUGGACUUCACAAGAGUUGCCCAAUCGGGGUAAAUUCCAUCGAUGAGAUAGUAUCCCAUUGAGUACUCAUUGUCCAUGAUUUUAUAGUUGCAAGUUGGAGCAUCCCCAGAAACUAAUCUUUUGAACAAAGGAGAUCUAUUGAGCACAUUGGUAUCAUUGAGUGUUCCCGGCAAACCAAAAAAUGCAUGCCAAAUCCAUGUGUCCUCCGAUGCCACGGCCUCAAGCACAAUGGUAGCAUCACGGCUUUUACCGCAAUACAUUCCUUGCCAUGCCUUUGGACAAUUUUUNNNNNNNNNNNNNNNNNNNNNNNNNNNNNNNNNNNNNNNNNNNNNNNNNNNNNNNNNNNNNNNNNNNNNNNNNNNNNNNNNNNNNNNNNNNNNNNNNNNNCUCCUGCUCGUUCUCGAGUAGGGAAGUGAUAAAGACCGAAUUUUUUAUGUGGAAUGCUACCUAGCAUAGUUGUCCUUUGCAACUUCUUUCACGUGACAGGAAUGUUCAGAUCCGUAAGAUUCGAAACAAUAGUUUGCUAUUGACAUGAAAACAAUAAUACUUCAAGCAAACUAGCAAGGUAAUCAUGAACUUUCCAAAUAACAAGGCCAAUGAAAGUUAUCCUUACAAAAUCAUAUAGUCUAGCUAUGCUCCAUCAUCCCCACACAACUAAUUUAAAUCAUGCACAACCCCGGAAUUGGCCAAGUAAUUGUUUUUGCACUCUUACUUUCUCAAACUUUUUAUAACUAUCACGCGAUACAUGAGCGUGAGCCAUGGAUAUAGCACUAUAGGUGGACUAAAGUGUGGUGGUGGUUGGGAGACAAAAAGGAGGAGAUGGUCACAUUGACUCGGCGUAUCAAAAGGCUAUGGAGAUGCCCAUUAAUAGGUAUCAAUGUGAAUGAGUAGGGAUUGCCAUACAAAGGAUGCACUAGAGCUAUAAGUAUGUGAAAGCUCAAAAGGAAAACUAGUGGGUGUGCAUCCAACUUGCUUGCUCACGAAGACCUAGGGCAAUUUUGAGGAAGCCCAUCAUUGGAAUAUACAAGCCAAGUUAUAUAAUGAAGAUUCCCACUAGCAUGUGGUAGUGACAAAGCAAAAAGCUCUCAAUCCUGAAGAACAUGGUGCUAUCAUGAAGCACAAGUGUGGAAAAAGAUAGUAGCAUUGUCCUUUCUCUCCUUUUCUCCUUUUUUCAUUUGGGCUCUUAGGCCUCUUUUUUCUUUUCUUUUUCUUUUUUUUAUCUUUUUUUGUUUUUGUUUUUGGGCUCUUUGGCCUUUUUUAAUCACAUGGGACAAUGCUCUAGUAAUGAUGAUCAUCACACUUUUAUUUACUCAGAGCUCAAAGAUCACAAUGAUGAUGACUCCAUAGGAAAUGCCUUCGGCAAUGUACCGAGAUGUGCAACGAUCUAGCAUGGCGUAUGACGCUGAAACAUCUCGCUAGCUAUCUUACCAUCAUGCAAUGGCAAUAUGAGAGUGACGACACAAGUCAUGAGACAGAACGGUGGGAGUUGCAUGGCAAUAUAUCUCGGAAUGGCUAUGAAAAUGCCAUAGUAGGUAGGUAUGGUGGCUGUUUUGAGGAAGGAAUUUCGUGGGUUUUUGCACCGGCGAGAAUUGCGCGGCACUAGAGAGGCUAGCAAUGGUGGAAGGUGAAAGUGCAUCUAUACCAUGGACUCACAUUAGUCAUGAAGAACUCACAUACUUGUUGCGAAAGUUUUUAUUAGUAAUCAAAACAAAGUGCUAAACGCAUACUCCGAGGGGAGGGGUUGGUAGGUGUUAACCAUCGCGCGAUCCCGACCUCAACACAAAGGAUGACAAUAAAUAGAUCAAUUAUGCUCCGACUUCCUAACAUAGCGGUUCACCAUACGUGCAUGCUGCGGGAAUCACUAACUUCAACACAAGUAUUUCUAGAUUCACAACACCCUACUAACAUAACUCUUAAUAGUACUGAAUCCACGUCUCAAAACUAAUUGAGAGGAAUCACAACUUCUCUUUCUAUUUAAUGCACACGAAGAUGGAGGUUUUUGUAUCCUCUUUGGGUACCUAUCACAUUUGGGACUACUUUCAUAGCAUAAGCCAACUACCAAAUCACGCACCGCCGUGCUCUAAAGAUAUAAGUGAUGCACAAGAGCAAAAGUAUCUAGCUCAAAAGACAUAAGUGAAGCACAAUGAGCAUUCUAGCAAAACCACGAUGAGUGCAUGUAUCUCUCUCUCAAAAAGGUGUGCAGCAAGGAUUAUUGUGGCCAAACAAAAAUAAAAGACUCCUAAGAUACAAGAUGCUCCAAGCAAAACACAUAUCAUGUGGUGAAUAAAAAUAUAGUCCCAAGUAAAGUUACCGAUGGAUUGAAGACGAAAGAGGGGAUGCCUUCCCGGGGCAUCCCCAAGCUUAGGCUUUUUGGUGUCCUUGAAUUUGGCUUGGGAUGCCUUGGGCAUCCCCAAGCUUGAGCUCUUUCCACUCCUUAUCUCUUUGUCCAUGAGAACAUCACCCAAAACUUGAAAACUUCACAACACAAAACUAAAACAGAAACUUGUGAUAACAUUAGCACAAGAAAACAAACUACCACUUCUCUUGGUACUGUAGCAAACUUGAAUUCUACCUAUAUUGAUGUUGGGCUACUGUAUUAUCACUUCUACAUGGCUAGUACCCCCUGAUACUAACCAUAGUUUCAUCAAAACAAGCAACCAAUUCAACAAAAAACAUAAUCUGUCAAAAACAGACCAGUCUGUAGCAAUCUGUAUACUUCGUAUACUUCUGGUACCUCAAAAAAUCUGCAAAAUUACGACGGCCUGGGAAAAAAGCAUAUAAAUCAGCAGCAAAAAGAAUCAACUCAAAAUCGUUUUCUGAAUAAAAAUGAAAAAUCAUCUCGUGAGCAGAAAGUUUGUGUCUUUUUCCAGCAUGAUCAAACAACUAUCACCCAAGCUAUCAUAAAGGCUUUACUUGGCACAAACGCUAAAAGAAACACAAAAAACACAAUCAUAACAGAAUUAUGAUAGUGUGGACAAAGAAAAAAAGCAAAAAUAAAUUCAUUGGGUUGCCUCCCAACAAGCGCUAUUGUUUAACGCCCUUAGCUAGGCAUUGAUUUCAAUGAUGCUCACAUAAAAGGUAAGGAUUGAAACACAACGAGAGCAUCAUGGAGCAUGUGGCUAGCACUUUUAAGUCUAACCCACUUCCUAUGCAUAGGGAUUUUGUUAUCAAACAAUUUAUUGGAGCAAGAAUCAACUACCAUAGGAAGGCAAAACAAGCAUAGCUUCAAAAAUUUCAACAUAUGGAGAGGAAGCUUGAUACUAUUGCAAUAAGUAGAAGCAUAUGAUCCUCUCUCCUAGUAAUUUUCAGUAGCAUCAUGAAUGAACUCAACAAUAUAACCAGCACCUAAGGCUUUAUUUUCAUGAUCUACAACCAUAGGAAUUUUACUACUCUCCACAUAAGGAAAUCUAUUCUCGAGAAUAGUAGUGGGAGUAUCGUAAAAGACUUGAGCACUACAAAUUGUGUCCACAAUGAAAAAGCAAGGUUUAGUAAAGGGGUUAUCGAGAGUAUGACAAGUUUAAUCAUCCCUCUUCUUUAAAGCAUAAGUAUCCUCACAAUAAUCAUCAUAGAUAGGGGGCAUGCUUUCAUCAAAAUAAUUUUGAUCAUUCAAAGUGGAAGAACUAAAAAUAUCAUCUUCAUCAAAUAUAGCAUCCCCAAGCUUGUGGUUUUGCAUAUCAUUAGCAUCAUGGGUAUUCAAAGAAUUCAUGCUAAGAACAUUGCAAUCAUGCUCAUAAUUCACAUAUUCUAUGCCAAGCAUUCUAUGUAAUUCUUCUUUCAGCACUUUAGCACAAUUUUCCUUCCCAUCAUGCUCACGAAAGACAUUGAAAAGAUGGAGCAUAUGAGGCAUCCUCAAUUCCAUUUUUUUUGUUUUCUAGCGAAAGAACAAGAAACAAAAGAUUUGAUUGCAAGAUCUAAAGAUAUACCUUCAAGCGCUAACCUCCCAGAAAUGCUUCGUUGAUGGGAUGUUAGUGCCGCUUACCUAGCCUCCCCGGCAACGGCGCCAGAAAAAUGCUUGAUGUCUACUACGCAACCUUCUCCUUGUAGACAUUGUUGGGCCUCCAAGUGCAGAGGUUUGUAGAACAUUAGCAAUUUUCCCUCAAGUGGGUGACCUAAGGUUUAUCAAUCCGCGGGGGGCUUAGGAUGAAGAUGAUCUCUCUCAAGCAACCCUGCAACCAAAUAACAAAGAGUCUCUUGUGUCACAAACACACCCAAUACAAUGGUAAGUUGUAUAGGUGCACUAGUUCUGCGAAGAGAUGGUGAUACAAGUGCAAUGUGGAUGCUAGAUAUAGGUUUUUGUAAUCUGAAAUUACAAAAACAGCAAGGUAACUAGUAACAAAAGUGAGCACGAACGGUAUUGCAAUGCGUGGAAACAAGGCCUAGGGUUCAUACUUUCACUAGUGGAAGUUCUCUCAACAAUGAUAACAUAAUUGGAUCACAUAACUAGCCCUCAACAUGCAACAAAGAGUCACUCCAAAGUCACUAAUAGCGGAGAACAAACGAAGAGAUUAUUAUCGGGUACGAAACCACCGCAAAGUUAUUCUUCUGAUCGAUCUCUCAUAGAGUUCGUACUAGNNNNNNNNNNNNNNNNNNNNNNNNNNNNNNNNNNNNNNNNNNNNNNNNNNNNNNNNNNNNNNNNNNNNNNNNNNNNNNNNNNNNNNNNNNNNNNNNNNNNACUAGUUUUACUUUUGAGUCUUUCACAUACUUAUAGCUCUAGUGCUAUCUUCUUGUAUGGCAAUCCCUACUCAUUCACAUUGAUAUCUAUUAAUGGGCAUCUCCAUAGCCUUUUGAUACGGCCAAGUCAAUGUGACCAUCUCCUCCUUUUUGUCUCACAACCACCACCACACUCUAUUCCACCUAUAGUGUUAUAUCCAUGGCUCGCGCUCAUGUAUUGCGUGAUAGUUAUAAAAAGUUUGAGAAAGUAAGAGUGCGAAAACAAUUACUUGGCCAAUACCGGGUUUGUGCAUGAUUUACAUUAGUUGUGUGAGGAUGAUGGAGCAUAGCCAGACUAUAUGAUUUUGUAGGGAUAACUUUCUUUGGCCUUGUUAUUUUGAAAGUUCAUGAUUACUUUGCUGGUUUGCUUGAAGUAUUAUUGUUUUCAUGUCAAUAGCAAACUAUUGUUUUGAAUCUUACGGAUCUGAACAUUCAUGCCACGUGAAAGAAGUUGCAAAGGACAACUAUGCUAGGUAGCAUUCCACAUCAAAAAAUCAUUCUUUAUCACUUCCCUGCUCGAGGACGAGCAGGAGUUAAGCUUGGGGAUGCUUGAUACGUCUCCAACGUAUCUACAAUUUUUUGAUGGUUUCAUGCUAUUAUCUUGUCAAACUUUGGAUGUUUUGCAUGCCUUUUAUAUAUUUUUGGGACUAACUUAUUAACUCAGUGUCAAGUGCCGGUUCCUGUUUUUUCCAUGUUUUUACCCCUUUGAGAGGAGAUUUUGAAACGGAGUCCAAACGGAAGAAAAUCCCCGAAAAGAUUUUUUCUGGAACGGGAGAAGAUCGGGAAGCUUGAGAGCCAAGGCAGGGGAGCCUCAAGGGCCCCACAAGCCCCCACCCCGCGGCUAGGGGGGUAGGCCGCGGCCCACAGGCUUGUGGCCCCCCUGAGCGCCCCCUGACCUAGGGGUUGCGCCUAUAAAUUCCUUAAAAAUCCCCAAAAAAUCAGGAGAUCAUCGAAAGUACUUUUCCGCUGCCGCAAGCUUCUGUCUCCGCAAGAUCCCAUCUGGGGCACGUUCUGGUGCCCUGCCGGAGGGGGAUUCGGAUAGAGAGGGCUUCUUCAUCAACACCAUGACCUCUCCGAUGAUGCGUGGGUAGUUCACCAUAGACCUACGGGUCCAUAGCUAGUAACUAGAUGGCUUCUUCUCUCUCUUGGAUCUUCAAUACAAAGUUCUCCAUGAUCUUCAUGGAGAUCUAUCCGAUGUAAUCUUCUUUUGCGGUGUGUUUGUCGAGAUCCGAUGAAUUGUGGAUUUAUGAUCAAAUUAUCUAUGAAUCUUAUUUGAGUUUCUUCUGAUCUCUCUUAUGCAUGAUUUCAUAUCCUUGUAACUCUCUUCGAGUUGUGGAUUUUGUCUGGCCAACUAGAUCUAUGAUUCUUGCAAUGGGAGAAGUGCUUGGUUUUGGGUUCAUACUAUGCGGUGACCUCACCCAGUGACAGAAGGGGUAGUGAGGCAUGCAUCGUGUUCUUGCCAUCAAGGGUAAAAAGAUGGGGUUUUCAUCAUUGGUUUGAGAUUAUCCCUCUACAUCAUGUCAUCUUGCUUAAGGCGUUACUCUGUUCGGCAUGAACUCAAUACACUAGAUGCAUGCUGGAUAGCGGUCGAUGUGUGGAGUAAUAGUAGUAGAUGCAGAAAGUAUCGGUCUACUUGUCUCGUACGUGAUGCCUAUAUGUAUGAUCAUUGCCUUAGAUAUCGUCAUGACUUUGCGCGGUUCUAUCAAUUGCUCGACAGUAAUUUGUUCACCCACGGUGAUAUUUGCUAUUAUGAGAGAAGCCUUUAGUGAACACUAUGGCCCCCAGGGUCUACUCCACACCAUAUUUUCAGCCUUACACUUUUUACUUCGUUGCACUUUCCGCCUUCAGAUCUCACUGUGCAAACAAUCUUGAAGGGAUUGACAACCCCUUUGAAGCGUUGGGUGCAAGCUUGUUUGUGUUUGCGCAGUACUCUGGACUUGACGAGGCCCUCCUUCUGGAUCGAUACCUUUGUUCUCAAACUGAGGGAAAUACUUACUGCUCAUGUGCUGCAUCACCCUUUCCUCUUCAAGGGAAAAACCGACGCAAACCACAUAAGUAACAAGAAGAAUUCCUAGCGCCAAGGAAGGACUUUUGUUGCCGCAACACCCGCCCCCGCGCCGCCCCGAGCUCUCCUCGCCGACCCGCAGGUAUGCAUUUUUCUUCUUCUUUUUUUGUUUAUUUUUUUCAUUGUUGAUUCAUUGUUGGCACUCACAAAUUUUUGUUUUGUGUUGUGUAGAUGGAGGCGCUUGGUCGUCAUCGGACGAUUCGGACAUUGAGGAGUUGCUUCNNNNNNNNNNNNNNNNNNNNNNNNNNNNNNNNNNNNNNNNNNNNNNNNNNNNNNNNNNNNNNNNNNNNNNNNNNNNNNNNNNNNNNNNNNNNNNNNNNNNGAAAGGGGGGGGGGGGUUACGAUCCUCCUAAGAGGCUGGUACAUCAGUGUUACAGGAAGAUCAAUGGACGUCGCAGGAUGCGGGCAGGGUUAUCCUGAGCCCUUUUGCCCAGCAUCGGGAUUCGUCCUUGAUCUUGUCAACGCAUCAUUUUGUAUCGUUGAGUGAUAUAGGAUUUACUAGGUGUUUGAGGCAUGAUAAUUUGGAACAAGUAAUAUAGUCGGUCCAUUCAGUAUGACCUUGAGGGAUUAUUGUUCUGAUUGACCAACUGUGCUUUCAACCACUCGCUACUGGCCAUUGCAGUUUCUUCUUCAUGGUCACUAACAUUGCUAGAAUACAUGAUUUUGGGUGUACGGGCCUGCGUCACAUUGCUAGAAUAGAAAAUUAACGAGGCAUUGAUGUCCCAUUUUAAGAACAGGGGUACACACAUCUAUGGAAGUAAGUAGUUCAGUUCAGUCUCCAGCGUAAGUAGUGGGGAAGAGGCAUGUUUGGUUGCAGCUACUAAUCUGAAGUUAGUAACUAUAGGUACUGAAUUUGCCUUUCUUGAUAAAAGGGCAGAUCGGUGCAUGUAGCUCCCGCUUGCGCGGGGUCCAGGGAAUUUGCCUUUCUUGAUAGUGAAAUGUAAUUUUGGCGAGGUUAUAGUCACACCAAUGUAAAUCAGAAAUCAGGGGUAUGUUUCAAGUGUUAUUGGCCUCUAGACUGUUAUUAUUUGUACCAUGGAAGCUCUGAGUACAUUGUACCAGGGACAUACUAAGUGUCAGCAAAAAUAGGAGCACAUUUUUUUCUUUCGGGAAAACACAAAGGCUUGCGUUUCUUUUCAUUGAAAAGGGAGAGAAUAUGUACAGUACAUGCCUUCGAGAAGUAGGCUACAGGGGCUCCAAAGAAAGAAAAGGAAAGGAAAAGGAAAAGGAAAGAAAGGACCUGCACAAGACUAGUGCACAUCCCAGGUAGGCGGCACAAUCGUCCCAAGGCCGGUGGCCCCAGCCCGAACCCAAAGGGAGGCUUCCUCUCUGAUCUUUGCCGAAAGCACGGCAGUGGAGGGCCGUUCGCCGUCGAACACACAUGAGUUGCGGUGCUUCCAAAGCAUCCAUGCUGUGAGGAGGGUUGCCGUGGCGAGGCCCUUGCGCAUAGCUUUAGGCGUGUCCAGCUUGGUUUGCAUCCACCAGUCGUUUAGGGAGGCCUCUUGGUCUGGCGGCUGGCAUGUCAAACGCAGCCAGGAGAGCGUGUCAUGCCACACCUGCCGCGAGAAGGGGCAGGUGACUAGCAAGUGGCGCAUCGUUUCAUGCUCUUGGUCGCAAAGGACACAUCGUGGAUGGUGUUGAAGGCCGCGGCGGCGCAGACGGUCCGCUGUCCAGCACCUGUCCAGAUUAGCAAGCCAUUGGAAGAACUUGACGCGGGGUGGCGCCCAGCUUUUCCAGGUCAGCUUCCAUGCAUCGCAGCUAGUGGAGCCCUGGAAGGUGACGAGGUACGCACUGCGCGCAGAGUAGCAGCCAUUUGAAGUCCACCUCCAGAUUAGCUGGUCCGGUCCCUCGGUGAGAACAAAGCCUUCGGUUUCGCGCCACAGCAGCAAGUAUUGGCCUAUUUCAUGGAUGCCUAGGUGGCCGUGGAUGUCUCUAGCCCANNNNNNNNNNNNNNNNNNNNNNNNNNNNNNNNNNNNNNNNNNNNNNNNNNNNNNNNNNNNNNNNNNNNNNNNNNNNNNNNNNNNNNNNNNNNNNNNNNNNGUCGGCGCCCGUCAUUGCCGCGCACUCCAGCUCUCGCAACAAGGUUACCAGAUGAUGAUCUACAGAAGAACGCAAGCAGAGCAGAUGCCAGAUGGGAUGCAAGUGAGAGUGACCAAAUGGAGGAGGGGGGAAUGACGAAGCGGGGAGAGCAGUAGCAAAAGUGCACAGCGGCUGGUGGUCUCGGAGAACUGACGCACUCGACCGACCACGAGCUGCUGCUGCUCCGUCCAGUCAAGUUGAGCGCCGCGCGCCGGAGCAAUGCACCGGGUCUGAAAAGGCAGAGUAAGCUAAGCAUUUCGGGAUGAAGGCCACGUUCCACGGACAGCACUCCUCCCGGUGACGUACUCGCAUGACGAUGGGAGCGAUGGGAGCACACGGGUGAGGCUGCCCACAUGCGAAACAAAAAUGAUAAACAUACAAUACAAAGACUUACAAAAGGUUACCCACUCACUAGUAUUUUUUCUUUCUAACUAACCCUCUCUUCUUCUGAUUUUCAAGGGAUGAGGCUUCAUCUAUACUACUUAUUAAACAAUCAAACAAGAAUUACACUACAGACGCCCCAUAAAACGCCCCACAAAAAAAACAACCAAUCAGCACCUCACGAUUAAUCCCACAGAUUCUUAAUCUAACUAGCCCUCGUUAAAUCCAACCGUCUGCUGGGUGGACUUAGCAAUUANNNNNNNNNNNNNNNNNNNNNNNNNNNNNNNNNNNNNNNNNNNNNNNNNNNNNNNNNNNNNNNNNNNNNNNNNNNNNNNNNNNNNNNNNNNNNNNNNNNNGAGCAAGGAACACCUGACGACUACUUCUUCUUUCCAGUAAAUUUUAACCGAAGGCUCCAUAGCGUGGGCAUUGAGCUGCUAUUAGGAUUUACUAGGUGUUUAGUGUUUGUUUGGUGUUUUCUCUCUUCUUCAUCAUUAUGCUUCAAGGAUAUUUAUCAUGCACUUAAGAACACACAACAUACGAGAGGAGAUGCAUUGGGAGAACCAUUGGAUAACAAAAUUUAUCUAGCUCCAUCAUGAUUAGUCAGUAGUGGGUUUUCCACAACUUGUUCUAUGGACCGUAAAAAAUAAGCACAUGGAAAAACAUUGUUACUAUUAGCACCACCCUCGUCAUGGUAGGGCCACCCUUCUCACACAUCUCAGAUAUCUCACUUCUGUGGAUCAGUGGUUCAGUUCAGUCUUCACCGUAAGCAGUGUGGAAGGGGUACAUUUGCUUGCAGCGACUAUCUGAACGUAGUAAUAUAGGUACUGGAUGUGCCUUUCUUGAUAGUUUACUGUAAAUUUUGUCAAGGUUAUAGUCACAGCAAUGUAAAUCAGAAGACAGAGGUAUAUUUCAAGUGCUAUUAGCCUCUAGACUGUGCGUAUAUGUACCAUAGAAGGAUUUGGUACAUUGUACAAGGGAAACACUAAAUGUCAGCAAAAAUAAAAGUAUAUUCUACCCUGGAAACACUAAAUGUCAGCAAAAAAAUUGAGUACAUUGUACCAUGGAAAUACUAAAAUGCCAGCUAAAAAAGUAGGUCUCGCCGGGAUUCGAACCCAGGUCGCCAGAUUCAAAGUCUGGAGUGCUAACCACUACACUACGAAACCAUUUGUUGAGUGUGAUAAACUGAUGGUUAUAUUUCUGUCAUUAGGGUUACUGACAAAAUAUUGUUUCUUUACUUGAUGAUUCCUGUUAAAUUUCCUUCCCUUUUUUCAGACUUGCUUCUGUUUGGCAUUUGGCAGCUAAAUGUAGGAAAUAUCCGACAAAGAGGAGAGGAUCGACUAGCCAGCUAGCGUGUGGAUGGGUGCGGCUCUUGGCUCGCCACGACAGAACACGGGAUGCCGCCCUGUCGCGUUGGCGCGGGCGACACGAGCGCCAUCUUUGUGGCAACGCUGGUACUGUGGGCCGUGCCGGUGGGGUUCAAGAUCGGCGCGCGGGGCACGAGCUGGCGGCCGUGGCUGCCGCAAUGCCUUCAUCCAGGCCGCCAACACGGCCGUCCGUGCCGCCGUAUCCUGUGGCCCGCUCUUCGUCAACACUGCCGUCCUGCUCCUCCUCUCCUCUCACUUCCGCCUCAGGUCUGGCCCCUUUUUCUCUUUCAUCCCCUCUCCGAACCCUCACAUUUCGCCCCAUAGCUUUUCUCGUAUAUGCGCUUUCGGUUAAUUGACUAUAAGAUAGCAUACGCCUAGUCGACGUCAAGCAUUUCGCGAAUUUGAGGAUAGGUAGGGUGUGACAGAUUAAUCAGAUGGUAACUUGUUGAUGCUCGAUGGAAUUUGUUCGACCCUGGAGUCCUGGACAAAAGGGAGCAGCAUGAGUUAUUUACUCAGAGUUAGUGUUGUUAGUUACUGCGAUACUGGUUUCUUGUACUGUCGAGAAUUGUCUCCAUUGGAGCUUUGAUUGGUUGAAAUUGUGCAAGAUUUCUCAAAGUCCAUAUUGCUUGCCACCUUGCUGUUUAUAGCAUGUUCGGCUUCUAGAGGUUGUCUGGUUCCUACUUCCAAGUAAUGUGGCACCCAUGCAAUGGUCUUGCAUGCAGACAGUACACUUCUAUGUUUUUCAUACAAAAUUGCCAACCCUUAAAAAGAAUGGCAAUGGUAUAAAGUGUGUUUAGAGUAGUUCACUAGUUGGACGGCAAAUAUCUCCAUUUUGUCUACCAGUUGGGCGGCAAAUCAGCACCUAGUGCCUGAACGUCAAUUAGGUGGGCCUAGGAGGGACAAAUUGGCUAGCAGGAAGGGUGUCACCUAGUGCCUGGGGCCCUCUAGGUGUACUAGGCGGCUGACUUUUGGAACACUACCUUUCUCACAACAUUACUUUUCAUGUAUCACUUCUUCGCAGGUACUUAUCUAGUAAAUCUAUCGCACAGAAUUGACAACGACUAAGCAAAAAAAUAAAAAAAUGAUAGGAAUGGUACAGAAAUUUUGUGUCCACUUCUCACAACAUUACUUUUCAUCACCUCUAAAUACAUGGAAGCUCUGAGUACGUUGUACGAGGGAAAUUUUGGAACAUUACUUUCUCACAACAUUACUUUUCAUGUACCACUUCUUUGCAGAAAUUUUGUGUCCCAGACAGUCGGAUAUGUGCCAUUAGAUUUAGAGGUGCUGUUCUUUCUCUCAAUUCCCUCUGCAGUAUGUAAUACUGUCGAUCCUUCUUUUAAAUGGAUGGCUUGUAGGUGUACUGCAUAUUCUCGAAAGCUUACUAUGUCUUUUUCUGGUAAACAUUUCUUUAGUUUGUUCCAUCUAUGCUGCCAUAGCCCAUAUGUUAUUUAAUUCUUAGGCUUGUCGAUCGACUUUCUCUCACUCCUAUUUGUUGAUUGACUUUCUCUCGCUCCUAUCUCGUUUGCAGUUAUCUUUGUUCUGCUGUGCCAAAGGCGUAGGGCCAUGAGAACAUGUUUCAGCAUGAAGAAUUAGUUGGUAGCAGUUGGAUUGGAGCAUAUUCUGCUCUGUGCUUUUCGUGUGGCUACGAUGCUUAUGGCCAAUUGGACAUGCUCUGCUACCGGCUAUACAGUGGAUGGAUUCCUGGGAUUCUGAUGCAUCACCUUAUUCUGCUCAUUUGCUUUACGCUAGCUCUGUAUCGGAAUGUGACAAUCAACUGCCUAAUUCUCAUUCUUCUGUGCAAGGUACAUAUGUCUCUUCUCAUAUUUUCUGGCAUUUAAUUUCGUUGACAAAGUUGGUUUAUUUGGUCACUUCAAAUAGUUUUGUCUUAUAAUUUGCCAUGGGGCUAUUAAUUACCCAGUUGUCAUUUGAGGAAUAUGUGUGUACUUUUCAAGAGAUAAUCCUUUUCUUGCACUUAUAAAUUGUGUUGCUCCUAAAUUGUGACCAACAGACCAUCUUAGUGGCCUGUGAUGUAAAAAAUCAGUACACUAGCAUUGCUUUUCCAACUCAGGAUUGCGAGCUGCUGUCACAAGCAUCCAUAGUCGGUAUGGCCACAUUAACAAGUUGCAGCCCAAACUUUAUUGCAGUAAACCUGUUGCCGGAAUGAUAAUACAAAGAGAACAUAGAGAAGACUAUUCACUUUAUCAUUACAAUUUGGAACAAAUGACAUGGCCGGUUUAUUCAGUAUGACCUUGAAGGUUAACUAUUUUGAUAGCCCAGCUGGGCCUUAAACCACCCGAUAAUGGCCAUUGCAGUUCCUUCUUCGUGUUCACUAACAUUGCUAGAAUACAAUAUUUUGGGUUCUUGCACGGGUCGGUGCAUCACAUUGCUAGAAUAGAAUAUUAAUGGGGCAUUGAUGUCUCAUUUUAAGAAUAACGGUAUUGAAAUAAGUUGUUCAGUUCAGUCUCGUAAUCAGUGGAGAAGUUCUACAUUUGGUUGCAGCAACUAAUCUGAAGUUAGUAGGUAUACACUGUUCUUUCACUUGUGAGUAUUUGUAUGGUCUGGGUACAGUGUACCAAGGAAAUACUAAAUGUCAGCAAAAAUAGGAGUACAUUCUACCUUGGAUACACUAAUUACCUGAAAAAUCACGAGUCGAUAUUUUCCCCGAAUACUAGUCCGGGAAAAAAAUGUGAGUGCAUUGUACCAUGUAAAUACUAAAAUGUCAGCUAAAAAAGUAGGUCUCGCCGGGAUUCGAACCCAGGUCGCCAGAUUCAAAGUCUGGAGUGCUAACCACUACACUACGAAACCAUUUGUUGAGUGUGGUACACUGAUGGUUAUAUUUCUGUCAUUUAGCAUACAGCCAGAAUAUUUUCCUUUACUUGAUGGUUCCUGUUAGAUUUCCUUCCUUUUUUUAAACUUCCAUUUGCCACCUGACAGCUAAAUGUAGCAAGAAAUAUCCGGUAAAUACCUUAUUUUAUUUUUUCAAUUCAUUUUAGCCAUUGUGUGGGUACGAUAAUUUUGCCUCAUUGAGCUGCUAUUAGGAUUUACUAGGUGUUUAGUGUUUGUUUGGUGUUUUUCCUUUCUUCUUAUUAAGCUUGAAUGAUAUAUAUAGCUUCAACAUUAUUAGCCAGUAUUGGAUUUUCUACUUGUUCUAUUAGCACCAUCGUCGGCGUGAUCGGGUCACCCUUCUUACACGUCUCUAAUAUCUCACUUCUAUGGUCAGUAGUUGUAACCAUACCUUCCCCCGCACAUCUUCCAUCUAGCUCAUCGCCUUGCCAUCAUCUCAUCCUACCGCUCUGAGAGCAACUCCAACGGGCCGUCCCAAACGGACGGCAAUUUUGUCCGCUUUUUGUCCGUUUGGGUCGGCCAGGCGGACACGAACGUUCGCUUCCGCGUUUGGGUCGGCGCAUGGGCCCAACGCUGGCCCAACCCAUUUUGACGGCGCGAGAAAAAAAGAAUGCAUGCAUAUUUAAAAUAAAACAACAUUAAUAAACAUUAAAGCCGGCCACGAAGGCCGGCGA
RNAcentral lists this long non-coding RNA (18820 nucleotides) under Hordeum vulgare. RNAcentral's name for it is "long non-coding RNA (HVUL_LNC007816)". The stretch from base 137 to 208 matches the Rfam family "tRNA". The record is from RNAcentral. Lineage: Eukaryota; Viridiplantae; Streptophyta; Magnoliopsida; Poales; Poaceae.